CCUCCAGACUCCUACGGGAGGCAGCAGUGGGGAAUAUUGCACAAUGGGGGAAACCCUGAUGCAGCGACGCCGCGUGAGCGAUGAAGUAUUUCGGUACGUAAAGCCCUAUCAGCAGGAAAGAAAAUGACGGUACCUGACUAAGAAGCCCCGGCUAACUACGUGCCAGCAGCCGCGGUAAUACGUAGGGGGCAAGCGUUGUCCGGAUUUACUGGGUGUAAAGGGAGCGUAGACGGCAGUGCAAGUCCGGAGUGAAAGCCCGGGGCUCAACCCUGGGACUGCUCUGGAAACUGUAAAGCUGGAGUGCGGGAGGGGCAGGCGGAAUUCCUGGUGUAGCGGUGAGAUGCGUAGAUAUCAGGAGGAACACCGGUGGCGAAGGCGGCCUGCUGGACUGCGACUGACGUUGAGGCCCGAAAGCGUGGGGAGCAAACAGGAUUAGAUACCCCAGUAA
RNAcentral lists this ribosomal RNA (448 nucleotides) under uncultured bacterium. Its description in RNAcentral is "bacterial SSU rRNA". It matches the Rfam family "Bacterial small subunit ribosomal RNA", at positions 328 to 793 of the family's 1533-position model. The record is from RNAcentral.